Long non-coding RNA from Cebus imitator (Panamanian white-faced capuchin), 575 nucleotides. RefSeq lists it as uncharacterized. The record is from RefSeq and is a predicted model, not a curated record. NCBI's taxonomy places the organism in Eukaryota, Metazoa, Chordata, Mammalia, Primates, Cebidae. The transcript has 3 exons.
UAUCUGUGGUCUUUUCUCUUUGUCCCCUCCCUUUGCCCUUUAAGGGAGAGAAGAGUGUGGAGGGAGGAAUCGGGGAAGCCCAGUGCUCUAUUGAUGCUCUUGACUUUGUUUUUGGAGGUAGCCUGUGAUGCAGGGCAGAAAAGAGCUGAUGCCUUGGAGAGAGACUGGGAGAGGCUGGAGUUAAUAGAGGAGAUCUAAGAAGACGGAAAUAAAUCCUAAAGAAGCCAACAAAUGUGAAAACAUGAUUUCUGGAGAAUUACAGAAGCACUUAGAAUUAUGUGGAGAUGCUGUGCUGGGUGUUGCGGAGUGAAGAUAUUCAUAAGGAGGUCACAGUCCAGGGAGCAUGAUGCCCUCCUGGAGAAAAUGCAAGCACUGUUUUGUAUUUAUAUGUAUAUUAUUUAUUUUCCUCAGGUCAGAGGAACACAACCUUUAAGCCAGAAGCUUAGAGGGCUGAAAUAAUUGCAAUAAACCUCUGAAACCUUACAUUUACUCAUCAAAUUUUACAGUCAUUAAUUGAUAGAUACAAAUUAUAUUUUCCAUUCAUUAUUUCAAGUAAAUGAAUAGUAAAUAUGUUG